GCCUCAAUGUUUAACUUGGAGGCCACAUCACAUCAGUUGAAAACUCAUAAACCGACUGACAGACCCAGAAGAAACGCAGAGUAUCCAUGGAGGAUCGUCCUUCUCAAGACGAACCCCAAGGGGUCAAAACCCUAGUCUCAUUCUACUCCCACUAUCUAUGGAACCGAUUCUUCACUUUCCUUCCCUCGUCCAACUCCAAUGUUAUCGGGAAAAUCUUCAAUUUCUCCCGCCAAACAGCUCGCGCCUCUUCUCGCAGACGAAGGCCUUGCCUCCCUCUCCC
This 280-nucleotide unclassified non-coding RNA is filed under the name Hevea brasiliensis (rubber tree). Lineage: Eukaryota; Viridiplantae; Streptophyta; Magnoliopsida; Malpighiales; Euphorbiaceae. The record is from RNAcentral.